CGGGGUAUAGCUCAGCAGUAGAGCACAUGCUUAGCAUGCACGAGGUCCUGGGUUCAAUCCCCAGUGCCUCCA
RNAcentral lists this transfer RNA (72 nucleotides) under Camelus bactrianus (Bactrian camel). It matches the Rfam family "tRNA". From Rfam's summary of the family: Transfer RNA (tRNA) molecules are approximately 80 nucleotides in length. Their secondary structure includes four short double-helical elements and three loops (D, anti-codon, and T loops). RNAcentral also lists the same sequence under 2 other names. The record is from Rfam by way of RNAcentral. Lineage: Eukaryota; Metazoa; Chordata; Mammalia; Artiodactyla; Camelidae.